Arabidopsis thaliana (thale cress) is the source of this 224-nucleotide long non-coding RNA. RefSeq annotates it as other RNA. NCBI's taxonomy places the organism in Eukaryota, Viridiplantae, Streptophyta, Magnoliopsida, Brassicales, Brassicaceae. The transcript has a single exon. The record is from RefSeq.
UACGAGUAGCAGUCUUGGAAAACUAAACCAAAAAACAAUGUAAGUGAGACACUAUGAAAACCUCAGAGGAUGAUAGUUCAAGACAACAAUAUCCAUAUUACAGGUCAUAACACAGCGACGAGGCAAUCAAUACUCUGAAAUUAAGUAACUAAAGCCAAACAAAGUCCAAAAUAUUGGUAUAAGUCACACGAAGGUUCAUACCAUAAAGCUGUCAUCAGUGAAGA